Molecule: ribosomal RNA, 252 nt
Filed under: uncultured bacterium
Lineage: Bacteria
Description: partial 16S ribosomal RNA
Rfam family: Bacterial small subunit ribosomal RNA
Source: RNAcentral
GACGGAGGGGGCGAGCGUUGUCCGGAAUUACUGGGCGUAAGCGCAUGUAGGCGGUCGUGUACGGCGGCGGUGAAAGCUCCCGGCUCAACUGGGAGAGGCCCGUCGCAACGGCAUGACUCGAGGGUGGUAGAGGCAAAUGGAAUUCCCGGUGUAGCGGUGAAAUGCGUAGAGAUCGGGAGGAACACCCAUGGCGAAGGCAGUUUGCUGGGCCACGCCUGACGCUGAGAUGCGAAAGCCAGGGGAGCGAACGGG